GCCUGUCUUAGCUGAACAAAUCCUAAUACUUCGAAUAAAUGGAGUAUUGAAGGUCAGCACAAUAAUUGAUAGAUGUACCUUCACACAAAGGAAAGAGCCAAAUUUCAAGAUACAAAUAUAAUAAUGAGGUGAUCAAAGCCUAGUGCAGGGAAAGGCAACUUUUGGAACUCCAGAUAUUGUGGACUACAUCCCCUAUAAUGCUCUUACACCCAUAAUGCUGGCAAAGCAUCAUGGGAGGUAUAGUCCAAAACAUCUGCAGUGCCAAAGGUUGCCUAUGCCUGGCCUAGUGGGUGCAAGAGUGAAAAGAAACCCUAUUGUAAUACUUUACAAACGUAUCCAGAGGGUCUAAAUAAUAUGUUCAUACACACACCACAGAAUUGGAGAUGAUACCCUUAUUGAAGUAUUAAGUAAAGCUUUAAAAAAAACUGCUCACUGUGUAAUUCCAAGUGGCAAACCCCAUGGAACAAAACAGAGGUAGCUUGCGGUUAGUUAAAGAAAUGUUAUACCACUAUUAAAGCUCCCUGUGUAUUGCCACAGAUAAACAUAAGUAUUGAUCAAGUUGAACAUAGACCAUAAUAAUAAGGCUCUAUUAUAGAUAUG
Non-coding RNA from Pelobates cultripes (western spadefoot toad), 600 nucleotides. The record is from the annotation of a GenBank genome assembly. Lineage: Eukaryota; Metazoa; Chordata; Amphibia; Anura; Pelobatidae.